GCCAAGGGUACACUCCAACAGUCAGACAUAAUUUACAAAGGAGGCAUGUGUUUAGGUUGUCCUCCAGACCAGAGGCAGUAGGGAUGACCAGGGAUGUUCUCUGUUUAGUGAGUCCUCUAGAUCAGAGGCAGUAGGGAUGACCAGGGAUGUUCUCUGUUUAGUGAGUCCUCUAGAUCAGAGGCAGUAGGGAUGACCAGGGAUGUUCUCUGUUUAGUGAGUCCUCCAGAUCAGAGGCAGUAGGGAUGACCAGGGAUGUUCUCCGUUUAGUGAGUCCUCCAGAUCAGAGGCAGUAGGGAUGUUCUCUUGAUAAGUGUGUGAAUUGGACCAUUUUCCUGUCAAAAUGUCACAAGUACUUUUGGGUCUCAGGGAAAAUGUAUGGAGAAAAAAGUUCAUAAUUUUCCUUAGGAAUGUAGUGAAGUAAAAGUAACAGUUGGCAAAAAUAUAAAAAAUAGUUAAGUACAGACACCCAAAAAAACUACUUAAGUAGUACUUUCAAGUAUUUUUACUUAAGUACUUUACACCACUGCAUGUAAAGUGUUGGUCACAUGUUUCAUGAGCUGAAAUAAAAUAUCCCAGAAAUGUUCCAUAGCACACAAAGCUUAUUUCUCUCAAACAUCUUACUGAGCAUUUCUCCUUUGCCAAGAUAAUCCAUCCACCUGACAGGUGUGGCACAUCAACAAGCUGAUUAAACAGCAUGAUCAUUAGGCAGGUGCACCUUGUGCAGGGGACAAUAAAAGGCCACUCUAAAAUGUGCAGUUUUGUCACACAACGCCACAGAUGUCUUAUGUCACAUGUCUCAGUAAGCAAUUGGCAUGCUGACUGCAGGAAUGUCCACCAGAGGUGUUGCCAGAUAAUUGAAUGUUCAUUUCUCAUCCGGCUUCUUCGCCUGCGGGACCGUCUUGAGACCAGCCACGUGGCCAGCUGAUGAAAACAUGUGCUCGCACAACCGAGGAAUAUUUGCAAACUGCCAGAAACAGUCUCAGGGAAGCUCAUCUGUGUGCUCAUCGUCCUCAACAGGGUCUUGACCUGACUGCAGUGGGGAAAUGCUCAAGUUCGAUGGCCACUGGCACGCUGGAGAAGUGUGCUCUUCACGGAUGAAUCCCAGUUUCAUUUGUACCUGGCAGAUGGCAGACAGCGUGUAUGGCAUUGUGUGGGAUAGCGGUUUGCUGACGUCAGUGUUGUGACCAGAGUGCCCCAUGGUGGAGGUGGGGUUAUGGUAUGGGCCCCAUGGUGGAGGUGGGGUUAUGGUAUGGGCCCCAUGGUGGAGGUGGGGUUAUGGUAUGGGCCCCAUGGUGGAGGUGGGGUUAUGGUAUGGGCCCCAUGGUGGCGGUGGGGUUAUGGUAUGGGCCCCAUGGUGGAGGUGGGGUUAUGGUAUGGGCCCCAUGGU
Molecule: long non-coding RNA, 1387 nt
Filed under: Salmo salar (Atlantic salmon)
Lineage: Eukaryota; Metazoa; Chordata; Actinopteri; Salmoniformes; Salmonidae
Description: lncRNA (ENSSSAG00000084990.1)
Source: RNAcentral